RNAcentral lists this ribosomal RNA (497 nucleotides) under uncultured bacterium. Its description in RNAcentral is "partial 16S ribosomal RNA". It matches the Rfam family "Bacterial small subunit ribosomal RNA", at positions 28 to 507 of the family's 1533-position model. The record is from RNAcentral.
GAUGAACGCUGGCGGCGUGCCUAAUACAUGCAAGUCGAGCGGACAGACGAGGAGCUUGCUGCUCUGACGUUAGCGGCGGGCGGGUGAGUAACACGUGGAUCACCUCCCUAUAAGACUGAGAUAACUUCGGGAAACCGGAGCUAAUACCGGAUAAUAUAUUGCACCGCAUGGUUCGAUAGUGAAAGACGGUUUUGCUGUCACUUAUAGAUGGAUCUGCGCCGCAUUAGCUAGUUGGUAAGGUAACGGCUUACCAAGGCAAGGAUGCGUAUCCGACCGGAGAGGGUGAUCGGCCACACUGGAACGUAGACACGGUCCAGACUCCUACGGGAGGCAGCAGUAUGGAAUCUGCCGCAAUGGUCGAAAGCCUUACGGAGCAGCGCCGCGUGAGUGAUGAAAGCCUUCGGAGCGUAAUACUCUGUUAUUAGGUAAAAACAAAUGUGUAAGGAACUAUGCACGUCGUGACGGUACCGAAUCAGAAAGCCACGGCUAACUACGUG